GACGAACGCUGGCGGCGUGCCUAAUACAUGCAAGUUGAGCGCUGAAGGUUGGUACUUGUACCAACUGGAUGAGCAGCGAACGGGUGAGUAACGCGUGGGGAAUCUGCCUUUGAGCGGGGGACAACAUUUGGAAACGAAUGCUAAUACCGCAUAAAAACUUUAAACACAAGUUUUAAGUUUGAAAGAUGCAAUUGCAUCACUCAAAGAUGAUCCCGCGUUGUAUUAGCUAGUUGGUGAGGUAAAGGCUCACCAAGGCGAUGAUACAUAGCCGACCUGAGAGGGUGAGCGGCCACAUUGGGACUGAGACACGGCCCAAACUCCUACGGGAGGCAGCAGUAGGGAAUCGUCGGCAAUGGACGAAAGUCUGACCGAGCAACGCCGCGUGAGUGAAGAAGGUUUUCGGAUCGUAAAACUCUGUUGGUAGAGAAGAACGUUGGUGAGAGUGGAAAGCUCAUCAAGUGACGGUAACUACCCAGAAAGGGACGGCUAACUACGUG
RNAcentral lists this ribosomal RNA (497 nucleotides) under uncultured bacterium. RNAcentral describes it as "partial 16S ribosomal RNA". It matches the Rfam family "Bacterial small subunit ribosomal RNA", at positions 28 to 507 of the family's 1533-position model. The record is from RNAcentral.